UGUGUGUGUGUAAUAUGCUUGUAGAGAUGGGGGUUCUGGGACCAGUCUGAGAGCUGGAAGAGUUGAAGGUCUCCUUCCUGUGUGAGGCACAGUGAUAUCAAACCGGCCUCCAGCCGGAGGAGUCCAAGGGCACCAUAACAUCUACGACUGCAAUGCAUUAACGUAGCUUUAUGAAAUCACAGACCAGUUCUGCUUGCAGCAGUGAUGCCCACUCAUCCUAGCCCCGCCCAGAGGAUGGUGCUCUUAGAGGCUUCCCUGAUAGUUCCGACUCCACCAACAGGAUCCGCAGACCCAAGACUCUGACAGGUGCCCUGUGUGAGGAGCCGUGGCGACAGCAUUCUCUUUGAGAUUCCAUGGUGGUGGUUUAAGCAGUUUCAGACCACACGGAUUCCAGCGCCAGCUACCGCUGCGCACCCGUCCAGCCCACGCAGACCCCGCCCACAUUGGCUGCCCUCCCCUCCCACCGCGCAAGCUCUGCCUGCGCCUGCGCAGGCGCAACUCUUCCAGCCAAGCCGGACUGGGCGGACGAGCUGAGCAAAGGGAGGUUGGGGUAGUUGCUGCAUUAUUUGGUUUCCACCUUUAGAGAUGGCGCAGGAUCUUGCAUCGGUAUCCCGCCGUAGUCCUGCCCAAUAGAGGUGCAGAUUUAGUUCGCUGUUAAUGUAGCUUGCAGACUCUUGA
Molecule: long non-coding RNA, 678 nt
Organism: Mastomys coucha (southern multimammate mouse)
Lineage: Eukaryota; Metazoa; Chordata; Mammalia; Rodentia; Muridae
Exons: 2
Source: RefSeq, a predicted model, not a curated record